GUGGCAAAUCAGUACGACCAGCUCCUGUUGAACCCCCCCAGGUGCGGAAGCAAGCAAGGGUAGACAGUUGUAGCGGUGCGAUACGGAUUUGCCAUUUU
This 98-nucleotide signal recognition particle RNA is filed under the name Cytophagales bacterium. Its description in RNAcentral is "signal recognition particle sRNA small type". It matches the Rfam family "Bacteroidales small SRP". From Rfam's summary of the family: The non-coding component of the signal recognition particle in Bacteroides Lineage: Bacteria; Pseudomonadati; Bacteroidota; Cytophagia; Cytophagales. The record is from RNAcentral.